This 406-nucleotide ribosomal RNA is filed under the name uncultured bacterium. RNAcentral describes it as "partial 16S ribosomal RNA". It matches the Rfam family "Bacterial small subunit ribosomal RNA", at positions 30 to 526 of the family's 1533-position model. The record is from RNAcentral.
AUUGAACGCUGGCGGCAGGCUUAACACAUGCAAGUCGAGCGAGCGGCGGACGGGUGAGUAAUGUCUGGGAAACUGCCUGAUGGAGGGGGAUAACCACUGGAAAAGGUAGCUAAUACCGCAUACCAUCAGAUGUGCCCAGAUGGAUUUAGCUAGUAGGGGGGGUAAUGGCAAUCAUAGGCGACGAUCCCUAGCUGGUCCGAGAGGAUGACCAGCCAAACGGGAACUGGAACACGGUCCAGACUCCUACGGGAGGCAGCAGUGGGGAAUAUUGCACAAUGGGCGCAAGCCUGAUGCAGCCAUGCCGCGUGUGUGAAGAAGGCCUUCGGGUUGUAAAGCACUUUCAGCGAGGAGGCGUUACUCGCAGAAGAAGCACCGGCUAACUCCGUGCCAGCAGCCGCGGUAAUAC